Molecule: ribosomal RNA, 253 nt
Filed under: uncultured bacterium
Lineage: Bacteria
Description: partial 16S ribosomal RNA
Rfam family: Bacterial small subunit ribosomal RNA
Source: RNAcentral
UACGUAGGGCGCAAGCGUUAAUCGGAAUUACUGGGCGUAAAGCGUGCGUAGACGGUUAUGUAAGUCAGGUGUGAAAGCCCCGGGCUCAACCUGGGAAUUGCAUUUGAGACUGCAUAGCUAGGGUGCGGAAGAGGGAAGCGGAAUUUCCGGUGUAGCGGUGAAAUGCGUAGAUAUCGGAAGGAACAUCAGUGGCGAAAGCGGCUUCCUGGUCCAGCACCGACGUUCAGGCACGAAAGCGUGGGGAGCAAACGGG